GCUGAGUGGGGAAGCUGCGGUCCACUAACCAGAAGCUGCUGCCCGCCCAUCAAAGGCACCUUGAGCACACGCAGCGGAGCCGCUCACAAAGUUCCUGCCGCUGCAGCCCAGUAUUGGUUUCUAAAUAAAAGUUUCCUGUGCUGGAAUAUAAUUAGUCCAAUUUUCCCUCUGGAAUCACUCCCAUCACGAGAAUAAACUUCAGUGGUUUAUACCCUGGACAGGCACAUGGCUGCAGCACUGGGAGGGAAAUCCUGUCCUUGUCACUGUGAGGACACACAGAUAACGAGUCCGUUACGGGAUGGCAUUUCCUAUUUUACUGCUGGGUGACUGCAUGUCACCAUAUUACUGUUCAUGAAAUGCUGGUCACCACGGUAGAAACAGGGUUUUAAUGGUGGAAAAUGUAAGUAAAAGGCUUCUUAAAGGCAAAGGUUCUAAGCUUUGAAAUUUAUUAUGCAUAAAAAUCAGAAUAAGACAACAUUAUACAUUUUCUCCUCAUGGAAUUAUGGUCUUAAUUAUGAGAAGUCCCUUACCAUUCGUUUUCUCAUUUCUAAUACUAAGGAUGACUGCAUAAUCUACAAACCCAGCAUCACCGUACCAGGACUAAAUAAUACAGCCAAAAGAUAGAGCUAUUCAGUCAUGGUUAGAGUGGUGCUUUAUUUUGGUGGCCAAACUGGAAGCAUUGACUGGAUAAGAGUUAUUAUCGUGCCGCCUGGUUUUCUUGCUGCUCUGCAAUCGACAAAGCAUCAUUUAUCAUCCUUUGCAUCCCAAUUUUUCUUUGCAUGUUUUCCAGCUCAUCAUAACAUAAUUAUGUUCCUGUUUCUUCCAGCCAGGGGCUGCUACUUUCUUUUCCUAAGACAACAGCUGCACUGCACAACCUUGAUGAAUCCCCAUAAGGGUAAAAUGUGUCUGUGGUGCUUGUUUCUGCCUUGGCAACCCAACUGUUCAAGCUCUUUUUUCCAUGACAAAUGCUGCUCUAAAAUGCACCCAACCCCGGUGCUUUCACAGCACUUCUCAAAACGAGGGUUUACGUUGUAAUUUAGACUUGAAAUAUUAAACACUCUGGCUGCUUUGUAA
Molecule: long non-coding RNA, 1074 nt
Organism: Neopsephotus bourkii (Bourke's parrot)
Lineage: Eukaryota; Metazoa; Chordata; Aves; Psittaciformes; Psittacidae
Exons: 2
Source: RefSeq, a predicted model, not a curated record